GCAGGUGAAAACAUACUUCUCGCUGACGAAUGUAAACAAUCUCACUCAAAACAUUCAGAAAAUACUACAAAAAGACUACACACACAUUUCUUUAGCUGUAAAACACACAAAAACAAUCAAAAAGUUGUACCCCAUGGUUAAAGCCAUUACACCGAAAGAACAACAGUCAUAUGUUAUUUACAAAAUAUCGUGCAAAGAAUGUGAAGGUGUAUACGUAGGUUUGACAACAACACACUUAAGUUUACGUACUGCAAAUCACAAAACAUAUCAAAACAAAGUGAGAAAACUGAGGGAACAGGGAUACAUUGAAGAAGACGGCCAAAUGAGAGAGAUACAGGGAAAAUCUGCACUUGUGAGCCAUUGUAUCACUAAAAAACACGAAUUUGACAUUGAAAACACAACAAUAUUAGACAGAACAAACUCUCUGAAAAAGCUUAAAUUUUUGGAAAUGUGCCACAUAAGAAACACACCACACACCGUUAACAAAAAACAGGACACAGAAAAUUUGAACAUAGUUUAUGCCGGUAUACUCCACAAUAUCAAAAUAUUGUACACUCCUAGUCAGAACCAAUAGCCAAAACAAACACGGAAAAACACACUAAUACUACAACAUCUCUGUAACACACUCACACAUGGGUAGGGGGGUACUGUCAAUAAUUGUCGCUACCAAGAAAGUGGUGGCUACCAAUACGAGCUUGAUACGAAAAGGGAAAGUACAACACGAAAAGUACCGCGUAAACAAGCUCGGGUUCCACUGUCCAAAUUGACCGUUGGUUUUUAUCCAGAUUACCCGGAUGAAUACCAAUCAGAAACAACAAACGACACUAACGACAGUUAACACUUUGACUAAAACUACACUGGACGAGAAACAAUCCUUCUUAAUUCCCUGAAGAAGACCCCAUAGAGGGUUGAAACGUUGGAUACGAGAAAAUAAGCGUUGUUUCGAAUUUUCCCGCCAAGACCGAAAAGCCGAAAACCUAACCUA
Long non-coding RNA from Culex pipiens pallens (northern house mosquito), 985 nucleotides. RefSeq lists it as uncharacterized. The record is from RefSeq and is a predicted model, not a curated record. Lineage: Eukaryota; Metazoa; Arthropoda; Insecta; Diptera; Culicidae. The transcript is spliced from 3 exons.